UUGAUAAACCGCCAGAACAUUAGAAUACAAAAAAAAAAAAAAAAUGGAAUCUCUCUUAAAAGUUUCCUCUUCCCAAAUAGAGGUAAGAAUACCCUUAGGUUUAGUUUUUCAGAAAAACCAUUUCUGUCGUCUCGAUUUCAUCAGAAAACCAGUUAGCGAAUUGAUAUCUCAUAAAAACCAGUUAUCAGAAAAACCAGAUCUUGAUCUUGGGUUCCAUCGAAUUUGCGCUUCGAUUUUCAGGCUGAUGGGCGGUAGCGAUGAUGGGGGAGAGGUGUGAUGAAGGAAGGAGACUAGGAGAGAGAAAGAAUUCUAACGGGAAAUUGCUUGGCCGUUUGUCACUUGAAUUUUCCGACCAUUGAUUGUGCCCAAUUAGGUCCUGAGUUCCUGACUCGUUGCUGCAAUCGGGUGAUUUUGAUGGAUAAUUUCUUCAUGGGACAAUGAAAGUACAGCUGAUGGGCCAUAUAAUGGUUAUAAUUACAAAGAUGAAGAGGAGGACAUACUUGUUUAUGAACCUCAUAGGGUCUGGAUAUACUUCUUUUCUCCUUUGUGUUACUUGAGAUCAGUUUGGCAUAUUUGUUUCGUGUUGUGAUCAGCAAAGUCUUUUGAAUCACUCGUCGUCUCGAUCUUGAUCUUGGAAUUCAUUGAAUUCCCGCUUCCAAUUUCAGGAUCAAGAUGAUGAAUUCGAUCCGAUAGCAAAUGAAGAUUAAGUUGACAUUGAGAAUCAUGCACACGUAAAGGGAGACCAGUUGAUGAUGAAAGAUAGAAGACAUUUAGUUUUAAAUUAUACAUUUUAGUUUUAGAUAUGAUCAUUUGGUUUUAUUUUGAACAUAAUAAUGCAAUUCUUAUAGAUCGCACAUCAAAUAUAUUAGAGAGUUGUUUAUUAGUUUAACCUUCAAAAUGACAUUUUCACAUUCGUGCAUGCAAUAACUAUUUCAGAUUCAUAUUAUUA
Molecule: long non-coding RNA, 949 nt
Organism: Spinacia oleracea (spinach)
Lineage: Eukaryota; Viridiplantae; Streptophyta; Magnoliopsida; Caryophyllales; Amaranthaceae
Exons: 4
Source: RefSeq, a predicted model, not a curated record